This 253-nucleotide ribosomal RNA is filed under the name uncultured bacterium. RNAcentral describes it as "partial 16S ribosomal RNA". It matches the Rfam family "Bacterial small subunit ribosomal RNA", at positions 524 to 776 of the family's 1533-position model. The record is from RNAcentral.
UACGUAGGGUGCAAGCGUUAAUCGGAAUUACUGGGCGUAAAGCGUGCGCAGGCGGUUUGUCGCGUCUGCCGUGAAAGUCCGGGGCUCAACUCCGGAUCUGCGGUGGGUACGGGCAGACUAGAGUGAUGUAGGGGAGACUGGAAUUCCUGGUGUAGCGGUGAAAUGCGCAGAUAUCAGGAGGAACACCGAUGGCGAAGGCAGGUCUCUGGGCCACUACUGACGCUGAGAAGCGAAAGCAUGGGGAGCGAACAGG